GCUGGGCAUGGUGGCGCAUGCCUGUAAUCCCAGCUAUUUGGGAGGCUGAGGCUACAGAAUCGCUUGGACCCGGGAGGCAGAGGUUGCAGUGAGCCAAGAUUGCACCACUGCACUCCAGCCUGGGUGACAGAGUGAGACUUAGUCUCAA
Pongo abelii (Sumatran orangutan) is the source of this 148-nucleotide unclassified non-coding RNA. It matches the Rfam family "Metazoan signal recognition particle RNA". From Rfam's summary of the family: The signal recognition particle (SRP) is a universally conserved ribonucleoprotein. It is involved in the co-translational targeting of proteins to membranes. Lineage: Eukaryota; Metazoa; Chordata; Mammalia; Primates; Hominidae. The record is from Ensembl.